RNAcentral lists this ribosomal RNA (497 nucleotides) under uncultured bacterium. RNAcentral describes it as "partial 16S ribosomal RNA". It matches the Rfam family "Bacterial small subunit ribosomal RNA", at positions 28 to 507 of the family's 1533-position model. The record is from RNAcentral.
GACGAACGCUGGCGGCGUGCCUAAUACAUGCAAGUCGAGCGAAGAAGUUUGGUGCUUGCUCCAAUGUCAAUAGCAGCGAACGGGUGAGUAACACGUGGAGAAUCUGCCUUUAAGCGUGGGACAACAUCGGGAAACGAGUGCUAAUACCGGAUAAUAACUUUAAACAUAUGGUUUAAUAUUGAAAGAUGCAAUUGCAUCACUCAAUGAUUGGCUCGCGUCGUAUUUGCUAGUUGGUGAAGGAAAGGGUUAACAAGGCGAUGGAACAUAGGCGACCUGAGAGGGUGGUCGGCCACAAUGGGAAUGAGACACGGCCCAAAAUCCUACGGGAGGGAGCAGGAGGGGAUCUUCCGCAAUGGACGAAAGUCUGACCGAGCAACGCCGCGGGAGGGGAGAAGGGUUUCGGAUCGUAAAACUCUGUUGGUAGGGAAGAAAGUUAGUGGGAGUGGAAAGCUCAUCAAGUGACGGUAACUACUCAGAAAGGGACGGCUAACUACGUG